CCUACGGGUGGCAGCAGUGGGGAAUAUUGCACAAUGGGGGAAACCCUGAUGCAGCGACGCCGCGUGAGUGAAGAAGUAUCUCGGUAUGUAAAGCUCUAUCAGCAGGGAAGAAAAUGACGGUAUCUGACUAAGAAGCACCGUCUAACUACGUGCCAGCAGCCGCGGUAAUACGUAGGGGGCAAGCGUUAUCCGGAUUUACUGGGAGUAAAGGGAGCGUAGACGGCGGUGCAAGUCCGGUGUGAAAUCCCAUGGCUUAACCAUGGUACUGCACUGGAAACUGUGAAGCUUGAGUGCGGGAGGGGCAGGCGGAAUUCCUAGUGUAGGGGUAAAAUGCGUAGAGAUUAGGAGGAACACCGACGGCGAAGGCGGCCUGCUAGAACGUAACUGACGUUGAGGCGCGAAAGCGUGGGGAGCAAACAGGAUUAGAUACCCCUGUAGUC
RNAcentral lists this ribosomal RNA (440 nucleotides) under uncultured bacterium. RNAcentral's name for it is "partial 16S ribosomal RNA". It matches the Rfam family "Bacterial small subunit ribosomal RNA", at positions 338 to 795 of the family's 1533-position model. The record is from RNAcentral.